RNAcentral lists this microRNA precursor (119 nucleotides) under Octodon degus (degu). RNAcentral's name for it is "miRNA (ENSODEG00000021858.1)". Lineage: Eukaryota; Metazoa; Chordata; Mammalia; Rodentia; Octodontidae. The record is from RNAcentral.
UCCCUUUUAUGUUAGAUCUUCAGGUACUGUGACUUUCCUAUGUUUGUUUAUUAGUUCAAUCCAUUAAGAGAACAGUGAUCAAAUAUAAAUACCUCUGGCAGGAACAUGAAAGGGGAAGA